This 252-nucleotide ribosomal RNA is filed under the name uncultured bacterium. RNAcentral's name for it is "partial 16S ribosomal RNA". It matches the Rfam family "Bacterial small subunit ribosomal RNA", at positions 525 to 776 of the family's 1533-position model. The record is from RNAcentral.
ACGAACCGUGCGAGCGUUGUUCGGAAUCAUUGGGCUUAAAGGGCGCGUAGGCGGGCUGCCGAGUCCGGGGUGAAAUCCUCCAGCUUAACUGGGGAACUGCCCCGGAUACUGGAAGUCUCGAGGGGGGUAGGGGCAUGCGGAACUGCGGGUGGAGCGGUGAAAUGCGUUGAUAUCCAGAGGAACUCCGGUGGCGAAGGCGGCGUGCUGGACCCUUUCUGACGCUGAGGCGCGAAAGCGAGGGGAGCAAACGGG